This 522-nucleotide ribosomal RNA is filed under the name uncultured Dechloromonas sp. RNAcentral describes it as "bacterial SSU rRNA". It matches the Rfam family "Bacterial small subunit ribosomal RNA", at positions 521 to 1039 of the family's 1533-position model. The record is from RNAcentral. Lineage: Bacteria; Pseudomonadati; Pseudomonadota; Betaproteobacteria; Rhodocyclales; Azonexaceae.
UAAUACGUAGGGUGCGAGCGUUAAUCGGAAUUACUGGGCGUAAAGCGUGCGCAGGCGGUUUAGUAAGACAGGCGUGAAAUCCCCGGGCUCAACCUGGGAACUGCGCUUGUGACUGCUAAGCUAGAGUACGGCAGAGGGGGGUGGAAUUCCACGUGUAGCAGUGAAAUGUGUAGAGAUGUGGAGGAACACCGAUGGCGAAGGCAGCCCCCUGGGCCGAUACUGACGCUCAUGCACGAAAGCGUGGGUAGCAAACAGGAUUAGAUACCCUGGUAGUCCACGCCCUAAACGAUGUCAACUAGGUGUUGGGUGGGUAAAACCAUUUAGUACCGGAGCUAACGCGUGAAGUUGACCGCCUGGGGAGUACGGCCGCAAGGUUAAAACUCAAAGGAAUUGACGGGGACCCGCACAAGCGGUGGAUGAUGUGGAUUAAUUCGAUGCAACGCGAAAAACCUUACCUACCCUUGACAUGUCCAGAAGCUCUUAGAGAUUUGAGUGUGCCCGAAAGGGAGCUGGAACACAGGU